Molecule: long non-coding RNA, 1739 nt
Organism: Choloepus didactylus (southern two-toed sloth)
Lineage: Eukaryota; Metazoa; Chordata; Mammalia; Pilosa; Megalonychidae
Exons: 3
Source: RefSeq, a predicted model, not a curated record
CUCGGCCUGGCACGGGUGACCCCGACCCCCGCGCGCGGAGGGUGGUCCUACCCUACACCUUCUUUGCGGCUCGUUACUUUCCAGCCAAGCCGCAUUCUUCUCUCGCAAGAAUGAAGAAAUGACAUCUUCUGGCUCCUAAGCUAAAAAAUCACCUGAACAAAUUUGGUAAUUAAUUAAAAAGGAAUAAUUUCUGAGGCUGAAAAUAAUUCAGCAGGAGCCAGUAAGAACCAACGAAGCCAAUAAACUAUGUUUAUUGUUAAUCAAGAGUUCUCUGAAUGCCUAUAAAGAGAGUCAAGAUUGUAAUACACUUCGGGUUGAUGUUACGGCCACAGAAUUAAAUUUUUCUGAAAAUUUGUAAGAAGAAAACAAUGAUGCAUCUAAUCCAAAUGGCACUUCUAUUUGGCUCAAGAAGAUUCAAAUUUCAUCUUCUAUGGUUUUCUACUCACUCAAUCCCACCCCUCUGCUAUCAACAGUCUGUGUUCUGGGCUCCCCACAAUUCCCUGUUUUGAGCACCUGCAUUAAAAAGCGGGGAGGCAGGCCAUGGGGAAAUACAGUCUUCAAAUCCUGGAAGGGGAUGUUGUAGUGUUGACCUUCAUGCUGCUCCCCAUGCUUGGCCUAUGAAAUCAAAAUACAAAUAGGUAAUGGGGACUCACACAAAGUGACAAAGACUUUGCAAAAGUAGAUUGGCCUUGUUAAACCAUGCUGGAGAAACAUUCAUCUACUCAUCUAGAAAAGGUAUCUUUCUUUCAUUUCUUCUCUCACCCCAAAAUGCUGGUGGUUGUCCCUAAAUCCACAGUGUGUAUAUGAAGCUACUGGUGGCUUGAAUGAUGAAGCCAGUUGCUCAGCAACUAGAUGUGGGAAUGCCAGAGACAAUUCCUGCCACCUGGAUUCUUCUGUGGUGUAUACAGAGAUGCUCCAAUCAUGUGACAAGAUCAUCUGCAUGCUGCUGUUUCCAUAGAAACCCUAGAGGAACUGGCAGAUAAAGGGACUACAAUUUCAAAGGGAGCUGAAAGAUAUUUCAAUGACCUCAUUCAUUUAUUCCAUUCCAUUUUAUGCUUGUGAAAAUAGGUGAACACUAGAGACAUAAAUAAAAUAGACCCUGCUGAGAUGGUGUUUUGGGUAACAGGGUUAUUUUUUUCUUCUGCACAGCCCAUGUUAACAUGGGAAGACUCAGACAGCAGGGACAGGGAUAGAAGGAGAGGAAAAGAAAGUUAUUCAUUACCUUCACAUUUAAGGACAGACCACACAGCUAAUUUCAUUUAUGAGAGGCAUAACAAUGCUGGGGAAGGAGAAAAGAAAUCAAUAUCUAGUCUAAUGGGACCUGAACUAGAAAAUGCAACACUGGAUACUGCUAGAAUGCUGGCUUCUGCUGACGAACUUAAUUUUAAAUGCUGCUCUUCUCAUAAGAUAAUUAGUUCCCUCUCCAGACACUAGGAAGUCCAUUUUAAAAAGUGGAGACAGCACUAGAUUGGUUAUUAGGAAAACUGUGUUCUGUACCUGUCCUGCUGUGUGAUCUUGGGCAGGUAAUUUGAUUUCUCUAGCAUUCUUCAUACCAGGGAUUGGUAAACUAUGGCCAACCACCUGUUUUUGUAAAGAAAAGGUUUAAUGGAACACAGCCAUACCCAUUUGAUUACGGCAGAGUUGAGUAGCUGUGAAAGAGUUGGUCAUGGUCCACCAGCCAAAAUAUUUACUAUCUGGUCCUUUAAGGAAAGAUCAAUAAUAACUGCUAAACUUACCAU